Molecule: RNA transcript, 1344 nt
Organism: Capsicum annuum
Lineage: Eukaryota; Viridiplantae; Streptophyta; Magnoliopsida; Solanales; Solanaceae
Gene name: mitochondrial outer membrane import complex protein METAXIN
Exons: 8
Source: RefSeq, a predicted model, not a curated record
AUUAACUCAAAAUUUUUAAAUCUUUCAUCAGAAGUUAAAACCCUUGCCCAGUAGGGUUUUAUUUUAUUUUUCACCAAUUUCAAAUCCCAUCUCAUUUUGAUUCAGAGAUUUCCCCAUAAGAUAAUUAAUGGAAGAAGCAAAGGAAAGAGAGAAACUGACGCUGGUGACCCGAAAAUCCUGUUUCGGAUUACCCACUUCUUGCCCAAACUGUUUGUCCGUUUACGCUUACCUCAAAUUCUCCAACACUCUAUUUGAUUUGGAUUUCAAUCUCAUUAACCCUGAUUCUGAUCAAAUACCUUAUGUCGAAUACGGUACAUACGUAGCCUACAACAAUGAGAAAGGUGGAGUAAUACGCAGUUUAAUCGAAGAUGGUUUCGUGGAUUUGGAUUCUCAAGUUCGUGGUAUACCUGAAUGGAUAUCAGCAAAGGCUAUGGUUGAUUCAUGGCUUGCAGAUGCCAUCAUUUAUGAACUUUGGGUGGGUUCUGAUGGAACUUCUGCACACAAGAUCUAUUAUUCAGAUCUCCCGUGGCCACUUGGAAAAAUCUUGUACUUGAAGCAAGUUCAUGUGGUGAAACAAAUUCUUGGUAUUACAAAAGAGAAUGCUGAAAGAAGAGAGGAAGAGAUUUACAGGAAUGCCAAUGAUGCCUUUAGUGCUUUAUCAACUAGAUUAGGGGAGCAAGCCUAUUUCUUCGACAACAGGCCAACAAGUUUGGAUGCAGUUCUCGUCGGACAUGCACUUUUUACACUAUAUGCAUUGCCAGAAACUUCAGUUCUCCGAAGCAAGCUGUUGGAACAUGAUAAUCUUGUAAGAUACACGGAGAAGUAUAAAAGUGAACUGGUAGAUUCUAGCACACCAUCUUCCGGUACACAAUCUCAGUGUGAUCCUUCUUCGUCGGUGCCGAGGCGUCCUUCACAAUGGAGGGUGGUGUUUGUGUGAGGGAUAAGAACAUUCAAUCCCAAUACUCGGUUUUACUUAUGCAACGGUUAGUUUCUGGUAUAAAAUCUUUGUUUUGUACUAUAAUUUCUGCAUAAGUAAUGUAACUAUGAAAACAAAGUGUAACUUGGGCGGAAGUCAACAUCAAAAGGUAGCUCAUGAGGUGAGGAUUGUCCAAAAUUGUAAAAGGAGACAAUAGUCAAGUCACUCCAACAAUGUGCGACACUUAAACACUCCUGUACGAACGUUGUCAUUUGGAGCAUGAAUAACAUAACCCCGGAGCCAACAUUGAGAACCAAGAGUUGGAUGGAUUUGGUUCUGAGUUCAUGUCAAUAAUCUUGGGUAGCUUAUGAGAAACCAGACGCUGAACUAUUAAUACUGGUUCAAAACCCAAAAGCAAGCCUAAGAGG